RNAcentral lists this ribosomal RNA (917 nucleotides) under Aspergillus ambiguus. RNAcentral's name for it is "LSU rRNA". It matches the Rfam family "Eukaryotic large subunit ribosomal RNA", at positions 34 to 967 of the family's 3401-position model. The record is from RNAcentral. Lineage: Eukaryota; Fungi; Ascomycota; Eurotiomycetes; Eurotiales; Aspergillaceae.
UUAAGCAUAUCAAUAAGCGGAGGAAAAGAAACCAACCGGGAUUGCCUCAGUAACGGCGAGUGAAGCGGCAAGAGCUCAAAUUUGAAAGCUGGCCCCUUCGGGGUCCGCAUUGUAAUUUGCAGAGGAUGCUUCGGGUGCAGCCCCCGUCUAAGUGCCCUGGAACGGGCCGUCGUAGAGGGUGAGAAUCCCGUAUGGGGCGGGGUGUCUGCGUCCGUGUGAAGCUCCUUCGACGAGUCGAGUUGUUUGGGAAUGCAGCUCUAAAUGGGUGGUAAAUUUCAUCUAAAGCUAAAUACUGGCCGGAGACCGAUAGCGCACAAGUAGAGUGAUCGAAAGAUGAAAAGCACUUUGAAAAGAGAGUUAAAUAGCACGUGAAAUUGUUGAAAGGGAAGCGCUUGCAACCAGACUCGCCUCCGGGGUUCAGCCGGCCUUCGGGCCGGUGUACUUCCCCGGGGGCGGGCCAGCGUCGGUUUGGGCGGCCGGUCAAAGGCCUCCGGAAUGUAGCGCCCUUCGGGGCGCCUUAUAGCCGGGGGUGCAAUGCGGCCAGCCUGGACCGAGGAACGCGCUUCGGCACGGACGCUGGCAUAAUGGUUGUAAACGACCCGUCUUGAAACACGGACCAAGGAGUCUAACAUCUACGCGAGUGUUCGGGUGUCAAACCCGUACGCGCAGUGAAAGCGAACGGAGGUGGGAGCCCCUUCCGGGGCGCACCAUCGACCGAUCCUGAUGUCUUCGGAUGGAUUUGAGUAAGAGCGUACAUGUGGGGACCCGAAAGAUGGUGAACUAUGCCUGAAUAGGGCGAAGCCAGAGGAAACUCUGGUGGAGGCUCGCAGCGGUUCUGACGUGCAAAUCGAUCGUCAAAUUUGGGUAUAGGGGCGAAAGACUAAUCGAACCAUCUAGUAGCUGGUUCCUGCCGAAGU